This 468-nucleotide ribosomal RNA is filed under the name uncultured bacterium. Its description in RNAcentral is "partial 16S ribosomal RNA". It matches the Rfam family "Bacterial small subunit ribosomal RNA", at positions 28 to 507 of the family's 1533-position model. The record is from RNAcentral.
GACGAACGCUGGCGGCGUGCUUAACACAUGCAAGUCGAACGGAAAGGCCCUGCUUUUGUGGGGUGCUCGAGUGGCGAACGGGUGUGUAACACGUGAGUAACCUGCCUUUGACUUUGGGAUAACUUCAGGAAACUGGGGCUAAUACCGGAUAGGAGCUCCUGCUGCAUGGUGGGGGUUGGAAAGUUUCGGCGGUUGGGGAUGGACUCGCGGCUUAUCAGCUUGUUGGUGGGGUAGUGGCUUACCAAGGCUUUGACGGGUAGCCGGCCUGAGAGGGUGACCGGCCACAUUGGGACUGAGAUACGGCCCAGACUCCUACGGGAGGCAGCAGUGGGGAAUAUUGCACAAUGGGCGGAAGCCUGAUGCAGCAACGCCGCGUGCGGGAUGACGGCCUUCGGGUUGUAAACCGCUUUCGCCUGUGACGAAGCGUGAGUGACGGUAAUGGGUAAAGAAGCACCGGCUAACUACGUG